Molecule: ribosomal RNA, 253 nt
Filed under: uncultured bacterium
Lineage: Bacteria
Description: partial 16S ribosomal RNA
Rfam family: Bacterial small subunit ribosomal RNA
Source: RNAcentral
UACGAAGGGGGCUAGCGUUGUUCGGAAUUACUGGGCGUAAAGCGUGCGCAGGCGGCUUCUCAAGUCAGGGGUGAAAGCCCAGAGCUCAACUCUGGAAUUGCCUUUGAGACUGAGUGGCUUGAGUACGAGAGAGGUGAGUGGAAUUCCCAGUGUAGAGGUGAAAUUCGUAGAUAUUGGGAAGAACACCGGUGGCGAAGGCGGCUCACUGGCUCGUAACUGACGCUCAUGCACGACAGCGUGGGGAGCGAACAGG